UACGGAGGGUGCGAGCGUUAUCCGGAUUCACUGGGUUUAAAGGGUGCGUAGGCGGAAUGAUAAGUCAGUGGUGAAAUCCCUUCGCUUAACGAAGGAACUGCCAUUGAUACUGUCAAUCUUGAGUACAUUUGAUGUGGGCGGAAUGUGUCAUGUAGCGGUGAAAUGCUUAGAUAUGACACAGAACACCGAUUGCGAAGGCAGCUCACAAAACUGUAACUGACGCUGAGGCACGAAAGCGUGGGUAUCAAACAGG
This 253-nucleotide ribosomal RNA is filed under the name uncultured bacterium. Its description in RNAcentral is "partial 16S ribosomal RNA". It matches the Rfam family "Bacterial small subunit ribosomal RNA", at positions 524 to 776 of the family's 1533-position model. The record is from RNAcentral.